This 336-nucleotide ribosomal RNA is filed under the name Triticum aestivum (bread wheat). Its description in RNAcentral is "partial small subunit ribosomal RNA". The record is from RNAcentral. Lineage: Eukaryota; Viridiplantae; Streptophyta; Magnoliopsida; Poales; Poaceae.
AUGGCCGGCACCAGCGCAAGCGCACUGCCCCCGGCAAGGAGGAGCCGUUUCCUUCUUGUUAGCGGCACCAUCCACCCGCCCCUGCCAGCGUAUGAUUGCUCCAAGAAGUCGGCCGAAGCAUGCCUUGCGACGGGGACGGCGUGCUGCAGCGGCCAGUGCGUGGACACUGUCGCCAGCGUCCAACACUGCGGCGGCUGCAACAAAGCAUGCAAGCUUGGCCGGACGUGCUGCGGUGGACGCUGUGUGGAUCUCCUCUCCGACAAGAAGAACUGCGGCACCUGCUCUAAUAAGUGCAACAAGAAGUGCAGCUAUGGAUUCUGCGAUUACGCGCAGUAA